UGAGUAACACGUGAGCAACCUGCCCGACAAACCGGGAUAACAGCGGGAAACUGCUGCUAAUACCGGAUACACCAGGUAUGGCGCAUGCUGUAUCUGGGAAAGGGUUUACCGAUGUCGGAUGGGCUCGCGUCCCAUUAGCUAGUUGGUGAGGUAACGGCUCACCAAGGCGACGAUGGGUAGCUGGUCUGAGAGGACGAUCAGCCACACUGGAACUGAGACACGGUCCAGACUCCUACGGGAGGCAGCAGUGGGGAAUCUUGCACAAUGGGCGAAAGCCUGAUGCAGCGACGCCGCGUGGAGGAUGAAGGCCUUCGGGUUGUAAACUCCUGUCUGGGGGGAUGAACACUGACAGUACCCCCGGAGGAAGCCCCGGCUAACUACGUGCCAGCAGCCGCGGUAAUACGUAGGGGGCGAGCGUUGUCCGGAAUUACUGGGCGUAAAGCGCGCGCAGGCGGCCUAUUAAGUCAGGUGUUAA
This 475-nucleotide ribosomal RNA is filed under the name uncultured bacterium. Its description in RNAcentral is "bacterial SSU rRNA". It matches the Rfam family "Bacterial small subunit ribosomal RNA", at positions 107 to 598 of the family's 1533-position model. The record is from RNAcentral.